Molecule: long non-coding RNA, 2193 nt
Organism: Scleropages formosus (Asian bonytongue)
Lineage: Eukaryota; Metazoa; Chordata; Actinopteri; Osteoglossiformes; Osteoglossidae
Source: Ensembl
GCUUUUUAUAUGACUGGGCUCUGUCUCCUUUCUCACAAUUUAAUACAAAAUUUCAGUCUCCAUCAGGGACUUCAAACCCAUUUGACUGGCCACUGGGUAGGAAAGUCCCCAUCAGGCCAAAGAACCCCUGCAUCCUGCAUACGACUCGUCUCUGCGAAAGGCUGUUCAAGCAGAAGAGUGACUUUGAUAUCACAGACCCCAAUGGCUACCGGCUGACGUCAUUUCCAUACAACUGCCUGCAUGACCCCAACCUGAAAACAUAUAUGCACCGCAAAGAUGUACACAGCCUCCUCAUCACCCAUGGGUUCAUUACAGAAGAUGAUAAAGUCAUUUGCUCAGCAAAAGAGUUCAACAAGUACAAAGAUUACCUCUCAGAUGUGCAGUUGAGUUGGGAUCAAAAGUUUAAGAUGGAGCAGAAAAAAAUAGUACGUGCAUUCCUGGUUCUGCAAGAUCAGGGAAAGAUCCCAGCAGAUACAACCAUAGCUGACCUGGUAGAGAGGCUGCUUCAGAGAGAACAAAGUCUCUUUAUACAACCACAGGGGGCUCCUAGGGACAGGGUCCAGUCAAGUGCGUGGAGGGAGAAGGAUUGUUUGGUUUUGAAGCUUCCAAAGAUCAAGAAAAUAAAUAACCUGACAUCCUCUUUUUGUGAAGAUCACAUGACGUGGAAAGUGAAGGAAAGAAAGAUGCUGGAGGAGAUGGUGAAGGAGGUGCGGCGGGAGCUGCACCUGGAGCGACAAAGAAAAGCGCACCAGCAGAUGAGGGAUAAACAGAAACAAGAGUUGGAGAACAUGAUUUUGGUCUCUCAAGAGGAGAAGCUAAAAAUGCUUAUUGAAGCCAAAAGAAAGAUUAGAGGUGGCCUGGCUGAUGUUGUCAAGCUGUCCAGGCACUCAUUGACCAGGAUUGGAAGUAUGCACUCAGCAUCACUGCAGCAAAGACCUUCCCCCCACAAACUCAGGCCACUGCCCAAGACGAAUAUAACUUGGCCCUCUGAAGAUGUCACAGUGACUGCGAAAUCGACACCGAGCGUUUUCAGUCACACCACUUACCCGGUCAGGAAAACAGUCUGGACACGGAUCAGUCCCACACGUAGCCAUCAGCGCUACUACAUGCACCAACUGGAUGUGAUAGUAGAGAAGCUGGUAGAGGAGAUCUUGGAGCAUCACUUCCCUCUUUAUUUAAAUGGGAUGAAGUAGGAAGUGCAGGCGGGACAUUAAAAAGGAAGAAGUGAGCUUGCAAGAGGAUGGAAAAGUGGCACAGGAGAGGGUUGCAUUUAAUGGAAAGCUUCCAAGAACCUAGCACAUGCCAACUCUUAAGUUAAUGAAGACACCUUGUGAUUCAACAUGAGGAGUACCAUAUGGGGACCUCAUCACAGAUUGAGGACUGAGAGGACACAGGAGAGAGAAACCAAGGAGAAGGAAGUGCAUCUCCUAGCAAAUUUGUACUGCCUUGUUGUUGAUGUUAGGUGUCAUCGAGUCAACGCUGACUGCUGGUGACCACAUAUACAGUAUCUCCAGAAUGUUCUUCUUGUGACUUCUUGUGUCCUUAGGCUUGAAAGGGUCAACUGCACUUAAAACCUGAGUUCAUCCAUUUUGGUGCUGCUAAUCCUCUUCUUUUCCUCCUACUUGUUCAAGCGUUACCAUGUUCUCAAGAGAAUGCUGUCUUUGCAUGAUGUGGCCAAAGUAUGACAACCUUAGUCUUAAUAUUUAUGCUUAGAGUGAGCGCUCUGGCUUGACCUGGUCCAAGAUCCAUCUGUACCCUUAUAUAAUGAAAAACUGCUACCACUGACAUUACAUUAUAUACCCUUUUUCAUGCAAUGGGUUUAUUAUUCAGUGCAACAACAUUUUUGCCCUAGAUAUGCAGUCACUGUUUCCACAGUGGUUUAGUCACUGUUUUCAAUGUCUCACACUGUAGGGCAUGUGGACACUAUGCUUCUUACAUUAAACAAUUACUGUAUAUAAUUACUUCUUCCUAUCACAUUGACUGUCUCGAACAGUCACCACAUUGAUUAUGAGGCUGGAAGAGAAACAGACCCUAAACAAACUCAAACAUCAUGGACAGUUAAAUCUGAGGCUUUUCCUCUUCAGUAGAACCCAAGUAUAGCUUCUUUUUGGAAUCUGUUGGCUUUGGUUUGCACCCUCAUUGAUUUGUGUUCUGUUGAUAACACAAUCUAAUCAGAUUCAGUGGCUUUUUCUC